GAGGUGAUCGACGACGAUCACCGGACGAGCGGCACCGUACCCGGCCAGCGACAAGACGGAGCCAG
RNAcentral lists this non-coding RNA (65 nucleotides) under Gordonia soli. RNAcentral also lists the same sequence under 1 other name. Lineage: Bacteria; Bacillati; Actinomycetota; Actinomycetes; Mycobacteriales; Gordoniaceae. The record is from RNAcentral.